UUAUUCGUGACCUCGUUUCAUACGGACCAGACAUUUUCUACACGUGCAGGGGACUCUCAACUUUCGUGGCUUACCAAGUCCAGGGACCACAGCUCGACCUGGGGUCGUGCAUCAAACUCGAUGUCCUUCAGUACCUGGCCCUCACGUACUGCCACAAUGACAACUUUGUGUAAAUCAUACCUCUCCUCAUCCCAGCUGCAGCUGCUGUCCAAAACCAAUCCUGAGUUAUUCCCUGGCAUCUCCUCUUCCAUCACCUUCCUUCCUGAGGGUUUAGUGAAACAGAUCAAUUGGUGAGCAGAGCUAUCAAUUAAAUUCCUUAAUCACGGAUUAA
Non-coding RNA from Cyanistes caeruleus (blue tit), 331 nucleotides. The record is from RefSeq and is a predicted model, not a curated record. NCBI's taxonomy places the organism in Eukaryota, Metazoa, Chordata, Aves, Passeriformes, Paridae.